This 492-nucleotide ribosomal RNA is filed under the name uncultured bacterium. RNAcentral's name for it is "partial 16S ribosomal RNA". It matches the Rfam family "Bacterial small subunit ribosomal RNA", at positions 29 to 507 of the family's 1533-position model. The record is from RNAcentral.
AGCGAACGCUGGCGGUAGGCCUAACACAUGCAAGUCGAACGGCAGCACAGUAAGAGCUUGCUCUUACGGGUGGCGAGUGGCGGACGGGUGAGGAAUACAUCGGAAUCUACUUUUUCGUGGGGGAUAACGUAGGGAAACUUACGCUAAUACCGCAUACGACCUACGGGUGAAAGCAGGGGAUCUUCGGACCUUGCGCGAUUGAAUGAGCCGAUGUCGGAUUAGCUAGUUGGCGGGGUAAAGGCCCACCAAGGCGACGAUCCGUAGCUGGUCUGAGAGGAUGAUCAGCCACACUGGAACUGAGACACGGUCCAGACUCCUACGGGAGGCCGCAGUGGGGAAUAUUGGGCAAUGGGGGCGAGCCUGAUCCAGCCAUACCGCGUGGGUGAAGAAGGCCUUCGGGUUGUAAAGCCCUUUUGUUGGGAGAGAAAAGCAGCAGGUUAAUACCCCGCUGUUCUGACGGUACCCAAAGAAUAAGCACCGGCUAACUUCGUG